RNAcentral lists this ribosomal RNA (396 nucleotides) under Spirula spirula. RNAcentral describes it as "partial 28S ribosomal RNA". The record is from RNAcentral. Lineage: Eukaryota; Metazoa; Mollusca; Cephalopoda; Spirulida; Spirulidae.
UCGGGUGGGUUGCCGAUGCACGUCGCUGACCCGRGGUGGCGGGCGGCAUAAGAAAAGCGGCGCCGAGCAACAACGCCAGCGUCGCUGGACCGACCCCCGCGCGACCACCAYCCCCCGAGAGGAACGGCGGCCGAUGAGAGGAAGGACCAGCGGGCCAGCGAGGYGCGAAUCGACGCGGCCGCCCGGUUUCGAAAAGCUCUCGCACUCUUUACCCGCGCUGCGCCCGAGACGGUGGGGCGAAGUUUUGGUCGCGCGAGACUGCCGACGAGAAAAAACCGGUCUUCGCCAMUACGUGAACGGUACGUURCUUAGUUUWWWGUMUCCGUAACCCGGCAGAAGGGGGYAGUACGGUCGCGGGCCCGACAGAAGCAGGUCGUAACUCUUCGUGCUCAGUAC